This 389-nucleotide ribosomal RNA is filed under the name Oithona sp. RNAcentral describes it as "partial small subunit ribosomal RNA". It matches the Rfam family "Eukaryotic small subunit ribosomal RNA", at positions 587 to 975 of the family's 1831-position model. RNAcentral also lists the same sequence under 1 other name. Lineage: Eukaryota; Metazoa; Arthropoda; Copepoda; Cyclopoida; Oithonidae. The record is from RNAcentral.
AGCUCCAAUAGCGUAUAUUAAAGUUGUUGCGGUUAAAAAGCUCGUAGUUGGAUCUCGGCGGGCAGGGGGUGGUUCGCUCUUCAGCGCUACUGCCCCGCUUUGCCCGUGUGAUUGGCGGAGGUUUCGGGGUGCUCUUCGUUGAGUGACUCGGAGCGCCGUCAGGUUUACUUUGAAAAAAUUAGAGUGCUCAAAGCAGGCUUUUCACGCUUGAAUAUUCGUGCAUGGAAUAAUGGAAUAGGAACUCGUUUCUAUUUUGUUGGUUUUCGGAAAUCGAGUUAAUGAUUAACAGGGACAAUUGGGGGCAUUAGUAUUCAGACGACAGAGGUGAAAUUCUUGGACCGUCUGAAGACUGACUACUGCGAAAGCAUUUGCCAAGAGUGUUUUCAUUA